GCUAGGUGGCCUGAUGCUAUCUUAGGUAACUGGAGCAUCGCUUCUGGAAGUGAGAAGCUGCCUUUAAAUUAUUCAGUGAGCCUCCCUCCAGUUCACAGGCCUUUCACCACUGUAGGGAAAGCAGCAGAAAAGUGCCGGGAGAGUCUUGACACAGCAGGAUUUAAUGGGAAGGAAGAAAACAGGGGAAGAGGAGUCAUCAUUUGGAAGAUGCCAAGCAGGCCUAGAAUGUUGCAAAGCCCAAGACUGCUCACCUCUUUUCCAGGGAGAUGGAGCACAACUUCCUACUCUUUAAGUGUCGGCUGCUCACUGUGACUUCCUUCCAAAGAGGACAGUAAGAGCAUCAGUGAGUGUUGCCUGGGACAACUUCUCCCGAGUUAGGAAAUCAACUUGAUGAUGCCAAAGAGGAAAGAACAAAGGCCAGUGGACUGGGAAUCAGAAAACUACUCCAGUCUCUAAUGCGCCACGUGACCAGGUAGAGGAGAAAAAGAUUUUUGUGCGGGCAUUCCAACUGGAUAUAAGCAUGACUGCAAAGGCCAAGCUGACACCAUCAGACCCUUUAUAGAACAGAGACACGAAGACAAUGCCACUAGGAUCUAAGUCCCAGCCCAGUCACUAGGAGAUGGACCUGUGUGGACUGCUACAGAAAGACUUCUCAGCUUCCUCACUCCCUCCUCGGGCUGUCUCCCAAAUGACUGUGGAUGCACUGGAACAGACUCUUCUGUGCGACUCGGAGGCAGAUGACUCUUGUGACGCAGGCUCAAAUCUCAAGAAGAUGGCAUCCCGGGAACACCAAGGGGUGAAGACCAAAAUGUCCUAAGAAAAGGCUGCUCUCUCUGGACAAAGGACCAAGAAAAGUGCAGCCUAGGAAGACAGAAAACUAUUAGACAAUAAUUGCGCUACUCCUGGCAACACCACAGAAAAUGCUAUGGCCCCUUCCCACCCACACUAGUAAAGGUCCUGUGGGAAGCCAAGAUUUCCUCCUUUGCCAGGCUGUAACAAGGUGCUCCAACUCCCCUGCCAUCUCCAACAGGGGUGAUGUCUGAGAAAGUCCAGUAAGGAACCAGAACUUGCAUUCCUGCUGGGUGGUCCUAAGGCGUCCUCCCCUUCCCCUGGGGUGGUGUCAUAGGAGGCCUAGUGGAGUAGACUUUCAGCAUUGCCCAUUUAAGAUGAGGUCCCCCACCCUCCACCAGUGGAGGCAACUCGGGAAGCAAUGAGAGGGUGCUCCAAUGCCUCACACCCAGGGAAUAUCAGUGGAGACUAAUAGAGAACUGGAACUCCCAGUCUUGCCCAGCAAUAACUAGGAGAAACACACACCAGUGUCAACGGAGACUAAGCAGGAGGACUCUGACUUCUAACCCCAUCCCCAUUCCCCUGUUGCAGCAGUGUCAGCUAAAACAGAAGGUUUAAGUAAGACCCAGUCUUAUAACACAAUACCUAAAAUGUCCAGUUUUCAAUCAAAAAUCACUUGUCAG
This 1472-nucleotide long non-coding RNA is filed under the name Equus caballus (horse). Its description in RNAcentral is "lncRNA (ENSECAG00000035342.2)". Lineage: Eukaryota; Metazoa; Chordata; Mammalia; Perissodactyla; Equidae. The record is from RNAcentral.